UCAAUGGCGGACCUAUGUGUUAAGGAGGGGGUGCAACUGACCCCCCUAAAAUUUAUAGAAACUUUGUUUUAUAUGUUACAUGGAAAAUGUCUUUGGAAUAAUUGGUAGUGUUUGACCUCAUUAAUAUCAAAACCUGGGUUCAAUGACACCCUUUGCAACACUCAUUAUUCAUUGUUUAUGAAGAUAAUUUCCUUUUUUAGAAUAUCUUAAUAUGCAACACUCAUUUUCUCACUUAGUUUACAUUUCAUUUUCUAUGCAAUAUAAUUAAUUAUUAAUUAUCUUCUCUUUCAUAAUACAUCUAUUUUCUGUUACAAGUAUUCAUCUAUUACAAAACAUUUUUUCUAUAUAUGGAUUUAAAAAAAUUGGCAAAAAUUGUAGUUUAACACAAAAUACUUUCAUACAAUAAGCCCAAAACUAAUUAAACCAUGUUAAUGCAAUUUAAAAUAUUUUACAUAUUUAUAAUAUAUGAUUAAGCAUAUUGUAGAUGAUUUAAUUUGAAUAUUUGCAUUACUAUUAUCGAAAUAUGGUAUCAUCUU
RNAcentral lists this long non-coding RNA (536 nucleotides) under Arabidopsis lyrata. RNAcentral's name for it is "long non-coding RNA (ALYR_LNC000142)". Lineage: Eukaryota; Viridiplantae; Streptophyta; Magnoliopsida; Brassicales; Brassicaceae. The record is from RNAcentral.